This 253-nucleotide ribosomal RNA is filed under the name uncultured bacterium. RNAcentral's name for it is "partial 16S ribosomal RNA". It matches the Rfam family "Bacterial small subunit ribosomal RNA", at positions 524 to 776 of the family's 1533-position model. The record is from RNAcentral.
UACGGGGGGGGCAAGCGUUGUUCGGAAUUACUGGGCGUAAAGGGUUUGUAGGUGGCUUGUUAAGUCAGACGUGAAAUCCCUCAGCUUAACCUGGGAACUGCGUCUGAUACUGGAUGGCUUGAAUUCGGGAGAGGGAUGCAGAAUUCCAGGUGUAGCGGUGAAAUGCGUAGAUAUCUGGAGGAAUACCGGUGGCGAAGGCGGCAUCCUGGACCGAGAUUGACACUGAUGAGCGAAAGCCAGGGGAGCAAACGGG